UACGUAGGGGGCAAGCGUUGUCCGGAAUCAUUGGGCGUAAAGAGCGUGUAGGCGGCCUUAUAAGUCGGCUGUGAAAGUCAAGGGCUCAACCCUUGAAUGCCGGCCGAUACUGUGAGGCUAGAGUCCGGAAGAGGCGAGUGGAAUUCCUGGUGUAGCGGUGAAAUGCGCAGAUAUCAGGAGGAACACCGAUGGCGAAGGCAGCUCGCUGGGACGGUACUGACGCUGAGGCGCGAAAGCGUGGGGAGCGAACAGG
RNAcentral lists this ribosomal RNA (253 nucleotides) under uncultured bacterium. RNAcentral's name for it is "partial 16S ribosomal RNA". It matches the Rfam family "Bacterial small subunit ribosomal RNA", at positions 524 to 776 of the family's 1533-position model. The record is from RNAcentral.